RNAcentral lists this ribosomal RNA (253 nucleotides) under uncultured bacterium. RNAcentral describes it as "partial 16S ribosomal RNA". It matches the Rfam family "Bacterial small subunit ribosomal RNA", at positions 524 to 776 of the family's 1533-position model. The record is from RNAcentral.
UACGAGGGGGGCAAGCGUUGUUCGGAAUUAUUGGGCGUAAAGAGCGUGUAGGCGGCCAGGCAGGUCCGCUGUGAAAACUCGAGGCUCAACCUCGAGAGGUCGGUGGAAACCGUCUGGCUAGAGUCCGGAAGAGGAGAGUGGAAUUCCCGGUGUAGCGGUGAAAUGCGCAGAUAUCGGGAAGAACACCCGUGGCGAAGGCGGCUCUCUGGGACGGUACUGACGCUGAGACGCGAAAGCGUGGGGAGCGAACAGG